Molecule: unclassified non-coding RNA, 408 nt
Filed under: soil metagenome
Description: partial contains 5.8S ribosomal RNA, internal transcribed spacer 2, and large subunit ribosomal RNA
Rfam family: 5.8S ribosomal RNA (bases 1-121)
Source: RNAcentral
GAUGAAGGAACGUAGCGAAAUGCGAUAAGUAAUGUGAAUUGCAGAUUUCAGUGAAUCAUCGAAUCUUUGAACGCACCUUGCGCUCCUUGGUAUUCCGAGGAGCAUGCCUGUUUGAGUGUCAUUGAAUCAUCAACCACGCCGACUUUUGUCGCGCGCGGCUUGGACUUGAGGGCUGCGGGCUCCUGCCUAGGAGUCGGCUCCCUUUAAAUGCAUUAGCGGUCGACCUUCCGGCGGACCGUCUCUGGUGUGAUAAUCAUCUACGCCGCGGACGGGAAGUCUGGGGGAGGCGCCUUCGGGAACCUCUCUGUUCGAGCCGCUUCGAACCGUCUUCGGACAGCUCUUUUGACAACUUGACCUCAAAUCAGGUAGGACUACCCGCUGAACUUAAGCAUAUCAAUAAGCGGAGGA